This is a long non-coding RNA of Bos taurus (domestic cattle), 1078 nucleotides long. The record is from Ensembl. Lineage: Eukaryota; Metazoa; Chordata; Mammalia; Artiodactyla; Bovidae.
AGACAUUCUGAUUUAAUGGUUCUGAGGCAUAACCUGGGUACCAAGACGUUUCAAAGCACCCUAGUGACCUAUGUGCAGUGACGGGUCUCCAUGUCACAACUGUUAGGACUCAAUUUUCUCUCUCUUCCUCCAAACACCCCAUCCUGCCUAAUUCCAGCUCCUCUGAUCAUUCAGUUCCUUCUCUCCCUCCCCCAAGGUUGCCACCUCAGCAACUUUCCAAGGCUGGGUCUUUCUGCCAGCAGUGAGUGAGUCCCAGACUACAGAGUUUUAGACAUUCUUACGGGCUGAAUUGUGUCUUUCUAAAAUUCAUAUGUUGAAGUCCCUCAGAAUGCAACUAUAUUUGGAAAGGUGGCCUUUAUCAGGUAACUAAGGUGGAAUGAGUGCAUAUGGGUCAACCCUCACCCAAUAUGGUGGAUUUACGAGAAGAUUAGGAAGCAAGUAGGCAUAGAGGGAAAAUGGAGACUGAGGGAGAAGAGUACCAUCUACAGUCAAGGAGAGAGGUUCCUCAGAAGAUAUCAAGCCUGCGGAUACCUUGAUCUCAGACUUUUCACCUCCAGAAUUGUGAGAAAGCAAAUUUCUGUUGUUUAACCCCCCUAGACUGUAGUUCUUGUUAUGGCCGCCAGAGAAGAUGAAGACAGAAAUCUUCCAGUGUGCCCAGUACCUUGCUAUGGUUUUUCCAGUGGUCAUGUAUGGAUGGGAGAGUUGGACUGUGAAGAAAGCUGAGCACCGAAGAAUUGAUGCUUUUGAACUGUGGUGUUGGAGAAGACUCUUGAGAGUCCUUUGGACUGCAAGGAAAUCCAACCAGUCCAUCCUAAAGGAGAUCAGUUCUGGGUGUUCACUGGAAGGACUGAUGUUGAAGCUGAAACUCCAAUACUUUGGCCACCUCAUGCGAAGAGUUGACUCAUUAGAGAAGACCCUGAUGCUGGGAGGGAUUGGGGGCAGGAGGAGAAGGGGAUGACAGAGGAUCAGAUGGCUGGAUGGCAUCACCGACUCGAUGGAUAUUGCCGGAGCGCGCCCGCCUGGUAGCGUUUGUGGCCGAGAGGUCCAGAGAAGAGGGUUCCACUGAGGAUGCCUAAGA